UAACGAAUCUUCCCCAAUGCACGCAAGUGUGAGGGAGCGACGCCGCGUGUGGGACGAAGUCCUUCGGGAUGUAAACCACUGUCAGGGGAUACCAAGUUCUGAGGAUCCCCAGAGGAAGAGGCGGCUAACUCUGUGCCAGCAGCCGCGGUAAGACAGAGGCCUCAAGCGUUAGGCGGAAUCACUGGGCUUAAAGCGUGUGUAGGCGGAUGCCUAAGUACCUUGUGAAAUCCCACGGCUCACCCGUGGAACUGCUGGGUAUACUGGGUGUCUUGGGCCAUUCAGGGGCAACUGGAACAAGCGGUGGAGCGGUGAAAUGCGUAGAUAUCGCUUGGAACGCCGAAGGUGAAAACAGGUUGCUGGGAAUGUGCCGACGCUGAGACACGAAAGCCAGGGGAGCGAACGGGAUUAGAUACCCCCGUAGUCC
This 424-nucleotide ribosomal RNA is filed under the name uncultured bacterium. RNAcentral describes it as "bacterial SSU rRNA". It matches the Rfam family "Bacterial small subunit ribosomal RNA", at positions 355 to 796 of the family's 1533-position model. The record is from RNAcentral.